This 970-nucleotide long non-coding RNA is filed under the name Equus asinus (donkey). Its description in RNAcentral is "lncRNA (ENSEASG00005038381.1)". Lineage: Eukaryota; Metazoa; Chordata; Mammalia; Perissodactyla; Equidae. The record is from RNAcentral.
UUUGAAUUAAAAGAGUGAAGAAUAUCCUUGAUAGAUGACAGCAGAAUGACCAACAACAUGGAGGUGGUGACGAUGGAAAGAGCGGAUCUCCUGGGGAAUCCUAGGGCACAUAACUGAGGAGGAAUUGUGUUUGCAGGCACACGCUGAGAGAAGGAGGCCUUUAAAUUGAAUGCACCAAGAAGGAAGCUUUCCAAAGCCCGAAUUAAUUAUCUUCAGCAGCAUCUAGACAAUUGCUGUUUUGUGAGGAGUUUGCCAGUCAGACCCUUCGGCACAUCCAUUAGGGACCUUCAAAGCACGCCAAGUACUCAGCCUCUCAGCUGCAGAAAUCCCUUCACCCCUAAACUAAGCACAGCUAUUAGAGAAAGGCUUUGCGGAUUCAGGUGGGAGGCCUCAGCCAACCCGCUGGCUUCUGCAGCAUCGCCUAACAGCUGAAGCAUUGCCUACAGAAGCCCAGCACAAACAUUGAGCAUUCCAAGGGUGGAAUACUAGAAUAUGCAGCAACUAAUAAAUGUUCAUGGUUUCUUGUCCUAAAAGGAUCCAGGUGGGACUCCUGCCACAGCAUGGCUUACCAAGUGGUGCCAUGUCCACACCCGGGAUCCAAACUGGGAACCCCAGGCCACCGAAGCGGAACCUGCAGACUUAACCGCUGCGCCACCAGGCCGGCCCUGGUUAUCUUUCUAAGAUCUCGAAUUCACUCACUCUUUCAUAACCUCCUUCGAACUUUUCUUAUCAGUGGUAGUUUUCUGGGUUUAUCACUAAUUUCUCAUUUGCAAAAUGAGAGGCUAGACCUAGACUGAUUUCUAAGCAACCUUUCUGCUUUCACAUUCAUCUUUAUACUAAUUCCCCUUUGACUUAAAAAUGUAGGAAUCCGCUGGCAAACAUUUAAAGAGCAUAUUAUACCAAGAGAGUGAACUUUUUUUAGCACUCACUAUGACCAAGGCACAGUGCUAACUGCCUCCUACACAGUAUG